AUACGGAGGAUGCGAGCGUUAUCCGGAUUUAUUGGGUUUAAAGGGUGCGCAGGCGGGGGAUUAAGUCAGCGGUGAAAUUUUUCAGCCCAACUGUAAAAGGGCCUCUGAAACUGGUUUCCUUGAGUGCAUAUGAAGUAGGGGGACUUUGUGGUGUAACGGUGAAAUUCAUAGAUAUCACGAGGAACUCCGAUUGCGCAGGCAGCUUACUAGCCUACUACUGACGCUCAGGCACGAAGGCGUGUGGAUCAAACAGGAUUAGAUACCCGGGUCGUCUUCGGCGUAAACGAUGAUCACUAGAUGUUUGCGAUACAAUGUAAGCGGCUGAGCGAAAGCGUUAAGUAAUCCCCCUGGGGAGUACGUUCUCAAGAAUGAAACUGAAAUGAAUUGACGGGG
Molecule: ribosomal RNA, 393 nt
Filed under: uncultured bacterium
Lineage: Bacteria
Description: partial 16S ribosomal RNA
Rfam family: Bacterial small subunit ribosomal RNA
Source: RNAcentral